CUGUGUGUGUUUCUACCCUUAGACUCUUAGCUGAAGAAGUGUCUUUAGAGUAAAUCUCUUGACAUUUAUUUUGGUCCUUCGUAGCCGGGGCAGAAACAUCAGAACUGUUAUCUGUGACUCUGUUCCAGGAUCUGGCAUACUGUUUCCUGACGCCGUGGAGCCAGCACCGAAGUCUGUGCACAGCCCUCUUAGACGAGGCCGAAAGCCCUGGAACGUGUGAAUUCGGGUCCAGGCCGGUGUUUUUAGUCUGGUCCACGGCGGCGGGAUUCAGUCUGACGAUCCGAAUCACCAGUGAGACGUCUGAGAGGUGAGAAACACUACUUUGGUUAGGAAUCGCCAUAAUGAACCGACAAAUAAAAUAGGUUAGGAAUCGCCUUAAUGAACCGACAAAUAAAAUAGGUUAGGAAUCGCCAUAAGGAACCGAAUUAGUAAAAGCGCGCAAAUGUCUAUGUGUGUGUAUGUGUCUGGAAGUAAGUUGAUUUUACAGCACAAUACGCUGCUGAACUACUUCUAUUUUAUUUGUUUUCUUUGCUGAGGCUCACGUACUGGUGACAAAUGAGAACGGUUGAGUUUUAUCUCGUAAAACUGAUACCCCUUCAUUUUUUAGAAGUGAAGUAGAAGGGCGUAUCAGCAACCACUCUGAAGUCAAGCGUGCCAGUGACAGCCCAGCAAAAUCUUUGACAAU
Molecule: long non-coding RNA, 685 nt
Organism: Oreochromis niloticus (Nile tilapia)
Lineage: Eukaryota; Metazoa; Chordata; Actinopteri; Cichliformes; Cichlidae
Exons: 2
Source: RefSeq, a predicted model, not a curated record